ACUCCUACGGGAGGCAGCAGUGGGGAAUCUUGCGCAAUGGGCGAAAGCCUGACGCAGCCAUGCCGCGUGAAUGAUGAAGGUCUUAGGAUUGUAAAAUUCUUUCACCGGGGACGAUAAUGACGGUACCCGGAGAAGAAGCCCCGGCUAACUUCGUGCCAGCAGCCGCGGUAAUACGAAGGGGGCUAGCGUUGCUCGGAAUUACUGGGCGUAAAGGGAGCGUAGGCGGACAUUUAAGUCAGGGGUGAAAUCCCGGGGCUCAACCUCGGAAUUGCCUUUGAUACUGGAUGUCUUGAGUGUGAGAGAGGUAUGUGGAACUCCGAGUGUAGAGGUGAAAUUCGUAGAUAUUCGGAAGAACACCAGUGGCGAAGGCGACAUACUGGCUCAUUACUGACGCUGAGGCUCG
Molecule: ribosomal RNA, 403 nt
Filed under: uncultured bacterium
Lineage: Bacteria
Description: bacterial SSU rRNA
Rfam family: Bacterial small subunit ribosomal RNA
Source: RNAcentral